RNAcentral lists this ribosomal RNA (253 nucleotides) under uncultured bacterium. RNAcentral describes it as "partial 16S ribosomal RNA". It matches the Rfam family "Bacterial small subunit ribosomal RNA", at positions 524 to 776 of the family's 1533-position model. The record is from RNAcentral.
UACGAAGGAUGCAAGCGUUAUCCGGAUUUAUUGGGUUUAAGGGGUGCGUAGGCGGACUUAUAAGUCAGUGGUGAAAUCUCGUUGCUUAACAACGAACGUGCCAUUGAUACUGUAGGUCUUGAGUACAGAUGCCGUUGGCGGAAUGUGUCAUGUAGCGGUGAAAUGCAUAGAUAUGACACAGAACACCGAUUGCGAAGGCAGCUGACGAAACUGUAACUGACGCUGAGGCACGAAAGCGUGGGGAUCAAACAGG